AGUAAAUUGGUUAAGUUAGAAAGGGCGCACGGUGGAUGCCUUGGCACUAGGAGCCGAAGAAGGACGGGACUAACACCGAUAUGCUUUGGGGA
Molecule: ribosomal RNA, 92 nt
Filed under: Listeria monocytogenes
Lineage: Bacteria; Bacillati; Bacillota; Bacilli; Caryophanales; Listeriaceae
Description: partial 23S ribosomal RNA
Rfam family: Bacterial large subunit ribosomal RNA
Source: RNAcentral